RNAcentral lists this transfer RNA (77 nucleotides) under Achromobacter denitrificans. RNAcentral describes it as "tRNA-Val(gac)". It matches the Rfam family "tRNA". From Rfam's summary of the family: Transfer RNA (tRNA) molecules are approximately 80 nucleotides in length. RNAcentral also lists the same sequence under 96 other names. Lineage: Bacteria; Pseudomonadati; Pseudomonadota; Betaproteobacteria; Burkholderiales; Alcaligenaceae. The record is from RNAcentral.
AGGCGGUUAGCUCAGCUGGUUAGAGCGCCACGUUGACAUCGUGGAGGUCGUUGGUUCGAUUCCAAUACCGCCUACCA